RNAcentral lists this long non-coding RNA (5973 nucleotides) under Gossypium barbadense (sea-island cotton). Its description in RNAcentral is "long non-coding RNA (GBAR_LNC011493)". The record is from RNAcentral. Lineage: Eukaryota; Viridiplantae; Streptophyta; Magnoliopsida; Malvales; Malvaceae.
AUCCUAGAUGAAAGAAUAGUUAACCCUCAGCAUAGUUGUAUCUUUAAAAAAAUGGCUUGAAGUGUUUUUGUUUGACAGUUUUACCUUUUCUAAACCUAGACGAGUGCUUUCAUCUAUCGGAAAGAGCUGCAACUUAAUCUUAGUGGAAGGAUGAAGUCUUUCUUCUGUAUUCAAGUAAAGUGCAGGUAUUGUAAUUCCUUCCACAAUUCUGGUUUUUGUAGUUUUAGACCUUGAAGAUGGUGCUUCACCUGAACCACUAGGUAAUGAAUGCUCAUCCUUUUCUGUUUUUCCUAAAUUAGAAGACAAAAAACUUAUAGUUAAAAGCACAAUUCAAGUACUCCAAUUUAUGAAAGAAAUCAACAUUUAUACUUAAAAAGAUAAAUUUCUUAGUAAGGCAACAAGUCCAGCGUCCUGCCUGUUGCUCCCUGAAGCUGCUGCUCAACUCUUGUCUUUCUAGAUCUAUCGACUCCCUUACAACCUUCGUGCACAUUGAUUUCUGAAUGUGGUUCUAACGCUUUUAUCCUUCUCUUUCUAUUAGUUCCCAUGUGAUAAAAGUUUUCCUAUCAACCAAACCAACCAUAAACAACAUUAAACUGAAAGUGCUUUACCAAAAAUAUCCACCAACAUUAAACACAAAACAAAACAAAACAAAAAAAAAUAAAAAUUCUUCUGAAACUCCAUUUCUAUGAGAGUCUGCCACCGCUAGCCUUUAAUUAAAAAUCAGUGCAUAACAUAAUAUUUCAAUCUCUAAAAGACAGUUUUUUUUUUUAAAUCUAAAUCCCAACUUUAAACACGGAGUAGUUUUAAGCCUUUCGGUUUCAUUGGAAUAUUUAGGGUUCAGCAUUUUAGAACUAACAACUGAAGCAAAAAUGUUCCUUAGAUUAAAAAGAAAAAAGAAAAAAAAAACUAUAUUCAUGAACUGCAUACUCAAGCAAUGCCAAAGAGGAUUCGAUUAAAUAGCCGGCGGUUCAAACCCUAAUUCUCAAAUUAGGGAUACAAGAAAAUAUAUAUUAAAGCAUAACGGACUUUAUACAUUAACUGGAAAAUAAAUAAGGUCCUGACUAAAGCAUCAAAUUGAAAUCACAAAUCAUCUGAAAAUUUUUAGUCAGUACCAUAAGGAUUGAUCUUUAGCAACAUAUGUUGAAAUUAAAAGAAAAUAUCAGGAAUUAAAGAUGAACAAUUUACAAAUAAAUCUAACUAAAAUUCUCAAUUCUAUAAAUAAAAAAUAAAAAAAGAGUUUUAGUUUAACCUGAAUAGAAUCAGAGCAGCGCAAAUUUGAAAAGUGGUGAAUAGUAGUGGCGGGAAUUUGAGGAUCUCGAAGAAAAGGUUUUCAAGGGCGUAUUUGUUUCUGCAAAUAGUUAAAAAUGGACUUUCAAAUUCAAAGGUAAAUGCCGCCAAGUAAGUUUAUAUUUGGCUUAAACCAAAGAACGCCCCCAAACUAUAACAUUUUUCCCACUUAAGUACUUAAACAUUUUUUUUAUCAUUUUAGGUAUCUAGUCUCUUUUUUUUUCAUAUUGGUACUUGUAUUAGUCAACUGUUAGUUGACCGUUAAUUAAUUAUGUUCACUGAUGAUAUGGUCCAAUUACAUAAGGACAUGUAGCAAACAAAACCACAUAAGCAAUAUCAUAUCAUUAUUUAUAUAAAAUAAUUCCAAAAAACAAAAUAAUUUAUGUAAUUGAAAUUGAAAUUAGAAUAUAUAAAAUUUAAAAAAUAAAUUUAUGAAUGUUUAUAGUAUAUUAAAUAUAUUUUUCUUCCUUUCUAAUUUCCCCCUUUCUUUGUCGGUGUAAUUUUGAAGAAUGAAAUCAUUGUAACAAGUCUUUUGUAUAUCCUGUUCUUGGUAAAUCCUUGAAAUGGAUUCAUUUUCUAAAUGCUUCCAAAGAUGUUAAGUUCUUGCAAAUGAAGAAUACCUUACCAAUUCCUUGCAUUUUUGUAGAUAUCCCCUUGUCUCCGUUACAAAUGAAAUCAAAUGUUACGAGUUGGAAAAUUAAGCAAGGAAUGAAGAAUAAAAGAGUUAGUUAUUAGCGGUUAGUGCUUUAAGUCAAACGGUGAGUUUUGUUACUUGUUAAAACGGGGCGUAAUAUUUAGUUAAACGGUGCAUUUGGCUAUAACAGAAUUGCCACAUUGCUCUCUUGUUAUUUGUUUCCUUUUAAGUACAGGUUGUAUGGGGAAAAACAGUUAUGGAAAUAUUGAAGUAAACCUUCCUGUAACACCUCGUACCCGAGACCAUUGCUGGAGUCAGACACGAGGGGUUCGCAGACUUAAAUCACUUAUUUGCACAGUCUAUUUUAAAUUUCCAGACGAGCUGGCUAACUGCGUCACUAUCACCUUAAAAAUCAUAUCUCGAGUUCCAAAACUCGAAAACCAGUUCCGUAAAUUUUUUCUGAAACUAGACUCAUAUGUUCAUCUACAAAUUUUUUUCUAGAAUUUUUGGUUGAGCCAAUUAGUACAUUUUAUUAGCUAAAGUCUCCCCUGUUUCAGGGUUCGACUACACUGACCUUUGCGCAUUAUGACUUGGAUAUCUCCCUGUACAGGGCUUCAAUACUGAUGCUGUUUGUUUCUAUAGAAACUAGACUCGAAAGGGAAUCUAUACAUAUAUGGCAUGACUUAUAAUUAUCUUUGGUUAAUUUAUAAUGAAUUUCCAAAGUCGGAACAGGGAAUCCAGAAACCGUUCUGGCCCUGUCUCACGAAAACUUAAAUAUCUCUUAACAUAUUGUUCAUAUGAUCGUUUCGUUACUUUCCUAUGAAAAUAGAUUCAUCAAGGUUCGAUUACAUAAUUUACUCUAUUUAAUUCCAUUCCUACUAUUUUUAGUGAUUUUUCACAUUCACGUCACUGCUGCUAUCAGCAUCUAUUUUUAAGGUAGACUUUACCUAUUACAUAGUUUCCAUGAUUCAACUAGCCCUUUUUCAUAUAUAGCACAAAAUAUGAUCAUGAUUAACCAUUCCAAUGGCUAAUCGUUCCCAAACAUUUCCAUACCUCUUAAUGAACAUCAUACAAGACGAUUAUAAUAUUAAGCUCAAAGUGUAUAUAAGCCAUUUUCGCAUGGCUAUCCAAAUUUAUACAAAACCAAAGGGUCCAUGACCAAUAACAAAAAGGGUAGUCCUAUACAUGUCAUUUCAAAGUUCAACCAAAAGUGUACCAAAAGGGGCUUUGAUAGUGUGGGAGACUUCGACUUCAAUAAUCCCGAGUCCGAUAGCUGACGAACCAAAAUCUAUAAACCAGAGAUUCAAAGAACGGAGUAAGCAUUUAAUGCUUAGUAAGUUUUGAGCAAUGGAAUUAGGCUCAGCUGAAGUAUAGCAUUCAUAUAACUAAACGGAUAAUUUCAUAUACACAUAUAUUCUCAAAGAUCAGUCCUACUUCACAUUUCCAACCCUUAUAUUCAUACAUAAGGGAUCAACUUAACCAAAACCGGAAGCUCCUUAAUCGACUGAGCGAAUACUAUUUAAGAGGAAUCAAUUAAUUCAAUGCAUGUACAACACAUACCUCGUUGUUGAGUUUUUACGAGCGUAUUAAUUGAAAUUAUUACAGCAGAUCACUCAUUCCCAAAUCACGUACCUUCAGAAUUUAACCGGAUAUAGCUACUCACUCAAAUGCCUUCGGGACAUAGCCCGGUUAGAGUAACUCGCACAAUUGCCUUCGGGACUUAGCCCGGAUUUAGUAACUCACACAAAUGCCUUCGGGACUUAUCACGGAUUUAGUAACUCGCACAAAUGCCUUCGGGACUUGCCCGGAACUAGUCACUAGCGCAGAUGCCUUCGGGACUUAGCCCGGUUAUCAUCCAAAUAUUCAUACACAUAUCAAUAAAUCAUGACACAUUUAUAUUUCAUUUUCAUAAUUGGAGUUCAAACACACGUCACGUAUUAAGCAAUCCCAUUUUCGGCUCACUAGCCACAUACAAACAGCAUGGUUUAAUUUGCUUUAUGACACUAUCUCUAUGCACAUACGGCUACCCGUCAUACGUAUAGACUAAUUAACUCAACAUAUGAUUCAAGUAGAAUCGUCAUAUCACCGCAUAUUUGUUAUGCUCAUACAUCAUGACUUAAUCAAAUCGGUAACUAAGUCUCGUUACUCGAAAACUUACCUCGGAUGUUGUCGAACGAUUUCGAUGGCUAUUCGACCACUUUUUCCUUCCCUUUAUCGGAUUUAGUUCCCCUUUGCUCUUGAGCUUAAUUUAACAAAUAAAUUGAUUUAAUCAUUUGAGCAUCGAAAAGAGGAACUCAAGGUACUUAGCCCAUAUAUAUACAUUAGACAUUAAAGUCACAUACAUGUGAAAUCAUGCAUCAACUCAACAUAUUAACCCACACUCCCUUUUAGCCGAUUGUCUAAACCAAGAUAAAGGCAUCAAUAUGCUUGCCUCUAACCGAAUACAUGCAACACUAAUCUUCUCAUGUGGCCGAGUAUGCAUGUAUAUGUUGAGGCCAAUUAUAUACUUAAUACCACCCAUAAAUGGCAUACCAAUACAUCAUGUGCAAACAUAUAUAUAUGUGCAAGAGCCGAAUCAUAAGGUCGAUUAUAACCAUUUCAUAUAUUUUCAUCAUAUACCCGAAUGCACAAAUACAUUAUAAUAACUUCUAACUCAAAUCAUGUUACAAAUUUAUACUUCACAAGGAUAAAUCAUUAACCAAAUAUAAACAUAUAUCCGAAUUCACAUGUAUAUUUUAUUUUUACAUGAAGCAUAGCCGAAUCAUUUUAUCCAUGAGUAACAUAACAUACAAAUAUGCGGUGAUAUGAUGAUUCUACUUGAAUCAUAUGUUGAGUUAAUUAGUCUAUACGUAUGACGGGUAGCCGUAUGUGCAUAGAGAUAGUGUCAUAAAGCAAAUUAAACCAUGCUGUUUGUAUGUGGCUAUUAAGCCGAAAUUUGUAAGUGUGAUAAGUGUCUUGUGUUUGAGCUUUGGUAAUGAAAAUGAAAUAUGGAUGUGUCAUGAUUUAUUGAUAUAUGUGCAUGGUUAUUCGAAUGAUAUCCGAGCUAAGUCCCGAAGGCUUUUGUGCUAAGUGACUAUAUCUGGACUAAGAUCCGAAGGCAUUUGUGCGAGUUACUAUAUCCGGGCCAAAACCCGAAGGCAUUUGUGCGAGUUACUAAAUCCGGGCUGAGUCCCGAAGGCAUUUGUGCGAGUUACUAAAUACGGGCUAAGUCCCGAAGGCAAUUGUGCGAGUUACUCUAAUCGGGCUUUGUCCCGAAGGCAUUUGUGCGAGUGGUUAUAUUCGGCUAAAUCCCGAAGAUACUUGGGUUGGGAAUGAGCGAUCUUGCUGUAAUAAUUUCAAUUAAUACGCUCGUAAAAUCCCAACAAUGAGGUAUGUUUUGUACAUGCAUUGGAUUAAUUGAUUCCUUUUAAGUAGUAUUCGCUCAGUCGAUUAAUGAACUUCCGGCCUUUGGCUAAGUUGAUCUUUUGUGUGUGAAUAUAAGGGUUGGUAAUGUGAAGUAAGUAUGAUAUUGAGAUUUUGUGCAUAUGAAAUUAUCCGUUUAGCCAUAUGAAUGCUACAUUUUAGUUGUGUUUAAUUUUAUGCUCAAAACUUACUAAGCAUUAAAUGCUUACUCCGCUUCUUUGAAUCUCUGUUUUAUAGAUUUUGGUUCGUCAGCUAUCGGACUCGAAAUUAUUGAAGUCGAAGUCGCCCACACUAUCAAAGCCCCUUUUGGUACACUUUUGGUUGAACUUUGUAAUGGCAUGUAUAGGACUACCCUUUUUGUUGUUGGUCAUGUACCCUUGGGUCUUGUAUAAAUUUGGAUAGCCAUGCGAAAAUGGCUUAAAUAUACUUUGAUCAUAACAUUAUAAUCGUUUUGUAUGUUGUUCGCUGAGAGGUAUGGAAAUGUUUGGUAACGAUUAGCCAUUGGAAUGGUUAAUCAUGAUCAUUUUGGUGCUAUGUAUGACAACCUCUAGUUGAUUCAUGGAAAACCAUGAAAUAGGUAAAGUUUACCUUAAAAACAGAUGCUGGCAGCAGCAGUAGUGUGGAUUUGAAAAAUCACUAAAAAUAGUAGG